This 73-nucleotide transfer RNA is filed under the name Camelus bactrianus (Bactrian camel). It matches the Rfam family "tRNA". Rfam says of the family: Transfer RNA (tRNA) molecules are approximately 80 nucleotides in length. Their secondary structure includes four short double-helical elements and three loops (D, anti-codon, and T loops). Further hydrogen bonds mediate the characteristic L-shaped molecular structure. tRNAs have two regions of fundamental functional importance: the anti-codon, which is responsible for specific mRNA codon recognition, and the 3' end, to which the tRNAs corresponding amino acid is attached (by aminoacyl-tRNA synthetases). tRNAs cope with the degeneracy of the genetic code in two manners: having more than one tRNA (with a specific anti-codon) for a particular amino acid; and 'wobble' base-pairing, i.e. permitting non-standard base-pairing at the 3rd anti-codon position. The record is from Rfam by way of RNAcentral. RNAcentral also lists the same sequence under 2 other names. Lineage: Eukaryota; Metazoa; Chordata; Mammalia; Artiodactyla; Camelidae.
GAGGGCAUAGCUCAGUGGUUAGGAUGCAUACUCAGCAUGCAGGAGGCCCUGGGUUCAAUCCCCAGUACCUUCA